CAGAAAGACCCUAUGAAGCUUUACUGUAACUUGAAAUUGAAAUUGGACUUUAUUCGCGCAGUAUAGGUGGGAGGCGUUGAUUAUAAUCUUGUGGGAUUAUUGGAGCCAUCAGUGAGAUACCACUCUUGUAAUGUUAGAUUUCUAACUUUGAAUCAUUAUCUGGUCAAAGAACAGUUUCAGGCGGGCAGUUUGACUGGGGCGGUCGCCUCCCAAACGGUAACGGAGGCGUACAAAGGUUUCCUCUGAACGGGUAGAAAUCGUAUCUAGAGUGUAAAGGCAUAAGGAAGCUUGACUGUGAGACCUACAAGUCGAGCAGGGACGAAAGUCGGUCUUAGUGAUCUGACGGUACUGAGUGGAAAGGCCGUCACUCAACGGAUAAAAGUUACUCUAGGGAUAACAGGCUGA
This 405-nucleotide ribosomal RNA is filed under the name Peridiniopsis sp. RNAcentral's name for it is "partial large subunit ribosomal RNA". It matches the Rfam family "Bacterial large subunit ribosomal RNA", at positions 2081 to 2485 of the family's 2925-position model. Lineage: Eukaryota; Dinophyceae; Peridiniales; Peridiniopsidaceae. The record is from RNAcentral.